This 423-nucleotide ribosomal RNA is filed under the name uncultured bacterium. RNAcentral's name for it is "bacterial SSU rRNA". It matches the Rfam family "Bacterial small subunit ribosomal RNA", at positions 207 to 622 of the family's 1533-position model. The record is from RNAcentral.
AAGACCUUGCGCUUUUGGAGCGGCCGAUGCCUGAUUAGCUUGUUGGUAAGGUAAAAGCUUACCAAGGCUUCGAUCAGUAGCUGGUCUGAGAGGACGACCAGCCACACUGGGACUGAGACACGGCCCAGACCCCUACGGGAGGCAGCAGUGGGGAAUUUUGGACAAUGGGAGCAACCCUGAUCCAGCCAUGCCGCGUGAGUGAAGAAGGCCUUCGGGUUGUAAAGCUCUUUCAGCCGGAACGAAACGGUUACGGUUAAUACCCAUGACUACUGACGGUACCGGAAGAAGAAGCACCGGCUAACUACGUGCCAGCAGCCGCGGUAAUACGUAGGGUGCGAGCGUUAAUCGGAAUUACUGGGCGUAAAGCGUGCGCAGGUGGUUUUGUAAGUCAGAUGUGAAAGCCCCGGGCUCAACCUGGGAACU